AAAAAAUCUCGAUCUUGGCUAGGUGUUUAUAGCCGAAAAUUUUUUUUUGGCUAUAACCGAAACCAAUAUAAUCACAUUUAGUUAUCGAU
RNAcentral lists this ribosomal RNA (89 nucleotides) under Apophysomyces variabilis. RNAcentral's name for it is "partial 28S ribosomal RNA". Lineage: Eukaryota; Fungi; Mucoromycota; Mucoromycetes; Mucorales; Mucoraceae. The record is from RNAcentral.